CUUGCUCUUCGAUUCAGCGGCGGACGGGUGAGUAAUGCCUAGGAAUCUGCCUGAUAGUGGGGGACAACGUUUCGAAAGGAACGCUAAUACCGCAUACGUCCUACGGGAGAAAGCAGGGGACCUUCGGGCCUUGCGCUAUCAGAUGAGCCUAGGUCGGAUUAGCUAGUUGGUGGGGUAAUGGCUCACCAAGGCGACGAUCCGUAACUGGUCUGAGAGGAUGAUCAGUCACACUGGAACUGAGACACGGUCCAGACUCCUACGGGAGGCAGCAGUGGGGAAUAUUGGACAAUGGGCGAAAGCCUGAUCCAGCCAUGCCGCGUGUGUGAAGAAGGUCUUCGGAUUGUAAAGCACUUUAAGUUGGGAGGAAGGGCAGUAAGCGAAUACCUUGCUGUUUUGACGUUACCGACAGAAUAAGCACCGGCUAACUCUGUGCCAGCAGCCGCGGUAAUACAGAGGGUGCAAGCGUUAAUCGGAAUUACUGGGCGUAAAGCGCGCGUAGGUGGUUUGUUAAGUUGAAUGUGAAAGCCCCGGGCUCAACCUGGGAACUGCAUCCAAAACUGGCAAGCUAGAGUACGGUAGAGGGUGGUGGAAUUUCCUGUGUAGCGGUGAAAUGCGUAGAUAUAGGAAGGAACACCAGUGGCGAAAGGCGACCACCUGGACUGAUACUGACACUGAGGUGCGAAAGCGUGGGGAGCAAACAGGA
RNAcentral lists this ribosomal RNA (703 nucleotides) under Pseudomonas sp. RNAcentral describes it as "bacterial SSU rRNA". It matches the Rfam family "Bacterial small subunit ribosomal RNA", at positions 79 to 777 of the family's 1533-position model. The record is from RNAcentral. Lineage: Bacteria; Pseudomonadati; Pseudomonadota; Gammaproteobacteria; Pseudomonadales; Pseudomonadaceae.